Ictalurus punctatus (channel catfish) is the source of this 281-nucleotide long non-coding RNA. RefSeq lists it as uncharacterized. The record is from RefSeq and is a predicted model, not a curated record. The transcript is spliced from 2 exons. Lineage: Eukaryota; Metazoa; Chordata; Actinopteri; Siluriformes; Ictaluridae.
GAUAAAUCGCCACGAAGCCGAACCUCAGCAUGCCAAGUACCAGCUGCACGGGGGCGGGGGGUGUGGCGGCAAAGAAAGGGAGACAGAAAGAAAGAGAGAUAGAGCAACAGAGAGACAACAGAGUCUUGCACUUGACUGUGUACGGUGCAGUGUUUGGUGCUCAGACGAGCUCCUCACGAACACCAUCCGCACCGCUCGACUCCUCCCACCACCCGACCUUCAGACUCCGUGCGACGCCGCGAGUACCUGAAUAAGUCCCAUGAGCGCGGUGACGACCACGG